GGGGCCGUAGCUCAGUUGGGAGAGCGCGACGUUCGCAACGUCGAGGUCAGGGGUUCGACUCCCCUCGGCUCCACCA
This 76-nucleotide transfer RNA is filed under the name Rhodospirillaceae bacterium. RNAcentral describes it as "tRNA-Ala". It matches the Rfam family "tRNA". Rfam says of the family: Transfer RNA (tRNA) molecules are approximately 80 nucleotides in length. Their secondary structure includes four short double-helical elements and three loops (D, anti-codon, and T loops). RNAcentral also lists the same sequence under 1 other name. Lineage: Bacteria; Pseudomonadati; Pseudomonadota; Alphaproteobacteria; Rhodospirillales; Rhodospirillaceae. The record is from RNAcentral.